GAUGAACGCUAGCGGCAGGCCUAACACAUGCAAGUCGAACGGUAACAGAGGGUGCUUGCACCCUGCUGACGAGUGGCGCACGGGUGCGGAACGCGUAUCGAACCUGCCCCUGUCGGGGGAAUAGCCCAUGGAAACGUGGAUUAAUGCCCCAUGGCAUCAUGGAAUCGCAUGAUUUUGUGAUCAAAGAUUUAUCGGACAGGGAUGGCGAUGCGUGCCAUUAGUUAGUUGGUAGGGUAAUGGCCUACCAAGGCAGCGAUGGCUAGGGGCCCUGAGAGGGGGAUCCCCCACACUGGUACUGAGACACGGACCAGACUCCUACGGGAGGCAGCAGUGAGGAAUAUUGGACAAUGGUGGGAACACUGAUCCAGCCAUGCCGCGUGCAGGAUGACGGCCCUAUGGGUUGUAAACUGCUUUUGUACGGGAAGAAACCUACUUACGAGUAAGUAGCUGACGGUACCGUAAGAAUAAGGACCGGCUAACUCCGUGCCAGCCGCCGCCGUAACAC
This 505-nucleotide ribosomal RNA is filed under the name uncultured bacterium. Its description in RNAcentral is "bacterial SSU rRNA". It matches the Rfam family "Bacterial small subunit ribosomal RNA", at positions 28 to 526 of the family's 1533-position model. The record is from RNAcentral.